GACGAACGCUGGCGGCGUGCUUAACACAUGCAAGUCGAGCGGUAAGGCCCUUUCGGGGGUACACGAGCGGCGAACGGGUGAGUAACACGUGGGUGACCUGCCCUCAGCUCUGGGAUAAGCCUGGGAAACCGGGUCUAAUACUGGAUAUGACUCCAUGACGCAUGUUGUGGGGUGGAAAGCCUUGUGCGGCUGAGGAUGGGCCCGCGGCCUAUCAGCUUGUUGGUGGGGUGAUGGCCUACCAAGGCGACGACGGGUAGCCGGCCUGAGAGGCGACCGGCCACACUGGGACUGAGACACGGCCCAGACUCCUACGGGAGGCAGCGAGUGGGGAAUCUUGCGCAAUGGGCGAAAGCCUGACGCAG
This 362-nucleotide ribosomal RNA is filed under the name uncultured bacterium. RNAcentral describes it as "bacterial SSU rRNA". It matches the Rfam family "Bacterial small subunit ribosomal RNA", at positions 28 to 391 of the family's 1533-position model. The record is from RNAcentral.